RNAcentral lists this unclassified non-coding RNA (1574 nucleotides) under Cimex lectularius (bed bug). Its description in RNAcentral is "uncharacterized LOC106666368, transcript variant X1". The record is from RNAcentral. Lineage: Eukaryota; Metazoa; Arthropoda; Insecta; Hemiptera; Cimicidae.
AAACAUACCUCUUUGUGGGUAUAAUGGAAUUAUGUUUUUGGGUACCUUCAAUAGACAAGUGCUGCUGUUUACUUUCUUUGCGGACUGGGACUAAGGUAAUAGGAAUUGGUGAAAUUAUCGUGAACUUUGCACUGAUCGUAAUGGAAGGAUAUUUUGUAAACGAACUUGACACGACUGUCAAAGUAAGUGUUGGGUUGGAUGUGAUUCUUGAAAUAGUGCUGACGAUAGCAUCUGUAUUUCUUAUAAUUGGAGUGUACUCUGAAAUAAUGUGUUUUAUUAAAUUGUGGCUGAUGGUCGAUUUUGUUGAAAUGGUAAUUACAUUCUUCCAUAUCAUUAUAAUUGUAUUUGAACUGGUGAUGCAAUCAGUUGAAUUAAAACUUGGGCUUGAGUUACUUUCACAGCAUCUGGUAAUUGAAGGUUUAGGGAUAUAUUUCUUUAUAGUAGUUUUCAACUAUUAUGAGGAAGAGACAGAGUUCUAAAAUAAGAUGUAAAUGCUACAAUGUGAGCAAAACCUGCAACUGCCAGAACUGAAUAACAUGCCCAGCAGUAUACCCACAAUAAAAUGCGCAGAACUGAUUAGGGAAUUAAAAAAAAGUGAACGUUAUAUCUGGUGAAUGAAUCAAUAAAGGGGAAGCAAAAACCAAAAAGAUAACACAAAAGAAGCAAUGAAAUGGAGAACAAUUAAAAACCAGACACGAUAUAGGAUCAAGCCAAACGUGCCUGAUCACACUACGAAGGUGAAAAAACUCCGAUCUAAAGCUGGAACUAAUUUCUUCUCCACUAUUAAAUAGAUUUCAAUUCAAACAAGACAAACAGCUCUUCAUAACAAUCAUAUGUUUUUUAAACAAAUGUUUGUUGAUGUUAUCAUUUUCCUAUACCUAUAAAGUAAGAAGUGGAUGGAUUUAAUGGCAUUUCUGAAAUGGUUGCCCAAGGUGCGUACAUUUUGUUUUGCCAUACCCCUGCCGAUUGGGUGUAAAAUCAUUGGAACCCUUCUUGCUAUAUACAGCGUGAUUAUAGUGAUUUUACUUGGGCUCAGUUUUGAAGAGAUGCAUCCCGAUGCGAUGAUAAAUCUUAUUAUGUAUAUAGCAAUAGAGACUGCAACUCUAAUUUUCUCUGUUGUACUUCUUGUUGGGCUAUUUUUGCACAGAGAUAAUUUUGUCAAAUUGUUCCUGGUAUUUUAUAUAUUUAUUCUUGCCUUGCUUUUAAGUCAUGCAGUAUUAUUAAUAAUCAAACUGGUUGUAGUCCUAAUGCCUCCCUGGAUAGCACAGCAAUACUUAGUGAUGUCGCUAUUUGAAAUGAUUAUAGGUUGUUAUUUCUUCAUAGUUGUACACAGCUAUUACGCCACAAAAACAUCAUCCUAACCGUGUCUGAAAUGGAUUGGUGAACUCGCCAAAAGAAGUAAACUGAAGAUCUGUCUCGGGCUUUGGAAGAGUCAAUUGACAAGAACUGUCUACAAGAUGUCAGAAUAUUGGUUAUUAAGCACAACAAUACUGACUAGGUGGUGAAUUUGUCACACAUUUUAAAAAUUUUUAGAAUGUAUAAUUAAAAUCUUUCCUUGGCACUUGUAAAACUUA